Non-coding RNA from Rattus norvegicus (Norway rat), 69 nucleotides. Lineage: Eukaryota; Metazoa; Chordata; Mammalia; Rodentia; Muridae. The record is from Rfam.
GGGGAUUUAGCUCAGUGGUAGAGGGCUUGCCUAGCAAGCACAAAGCCCUGGGUUCGAUCCCCAGCUCCG